GCCGCUGCCUAUUCAUGCAGUCCGAACGCUUUGUGGUUCAACUGAUUUGAAGAAGCUUGCUCAGAUAUGACGAUGGACAUUGCAAAGAGUGGCGAACGGGUGAGUAACACGUGGGAAACCUACCUCUUAGCAGGGGAUAACAUUUGGAAACAGAUGCUAAUACCGUAUAACAAUGACAACCGCAUGGUUGUUAUUUAAAAGAUGGUUCUGCUAUCACUAAGAGAUGGUCCCGCGGUGCAUUAGCUAGUUGGUAAGGUAAUGGCUUACCAAGGCGAUGAUGCAUAGCCGAGUUGAGAGACUGAUCGGCCACAAUGGGACUGAGACACGGCCCAUACUCCUACGGGAGGCAGCAGUAGGGAAUCUUCCACAAUGGGCGAAAGCCUGAUGGAGCAACGCCGCGUGUGUGAUGAAGGGUUUCGGCUCGUAAAACACUGUUGUAAGAGAAGAAUGACAUUGAGAGUAACUGUUCAAUGUGUGACGGUAUCUUACCAGAAAGGAACGGCUAAAUACGUGCCAGCAGCCGCGGUAAUACGUAUGUUCCAAGCGUUAUCCGGAUUUAUUGGGCGUAAAGCGAGCGCAGACGGUUAUUUAAGUCUGAAGUGAAAGCCCUCAGCUCAACUGAGGAAUUGCUUUGGAAACUGGAUGACUUGAGUGCAGUAGAGGAAAGUGGAACUCCAUGUGUAGCGGUGAAAUGCGUAGAUAUAUGGAAGAACACCAGUGGCGAAGGCGGCUUUCUGGACUGUAACUGACGUUGAGGCUCGAAAGUGUGGGUAGCAAACAGGAUUAGAUACCCUGGUAGUCCACACCGUAAACGAUGAGUGCUAGGUGUUUGAGGGUUUCCGCCCUUAAGUGCCGCAGCUAACGCAUUAAGCACUCCGCCUGGGGAGUACGACCGCAAGGUUGAAACUCAAAGGAAUUGACGGGGACCCGCACAAGCGGUGGAGCAUGUGGUUUAAUUCGAAGCAACGCGAAGAACCUUACCAGGUCUUGACAUCCCUUGACAACUCCAGAGAUGGAGCGUUCCCUUCGGGGACAAGGUGACAGGUGGUGCAUGGUUGUCGUCAGCUCGUGUCGUGAGAUGUUGGGUUAAGUCCCGCAACGAGCGCAACCCUUAUUACUAGUUGCCAGCAUUCAGUUGGGCACUCUAGUGAGACUGCCGGUGACAAACCGGAGGAAGGUGGGGAUGACGUCAAAUCAUCAUGCCCCUUAUGACCUGGGCUACACACGUGCUACAAUGGCGUAUACAACGAGUUGCCAACCCGCGAGGGUGAGCUAAUCUCUUAAAGUACGUCUCAGUUCGGAUUGUAGGCUGCAACUCGCCUACAUGAAGUCGGAAUCGCUAGUAAUCGCGGAUCAGCACGCCGCGGUGAAUACGUUCCCGGGUCUUGUACACACCGCCCGUCACACCAUGAGAGUUUGUAACACCCAAAGCCGGUGGGGUAACCUUCGGGAGCCAGCCGUCUAAGGUGGGACAGAUGAUUAGGGUGAAGUCGUAACAAGAGGAAA
Molecule: ribosomal RNA, 1506 nt
Filed under: Weissella confusa
Lineage: Bacteria; Bacillati; Bacillota; Bacilli; Lactobacillales; Lactobacillaceae
Description: bacterial SSU rRNA
Rfam family: Bacterial small subunit ribosomal RNA
Source: RNAcentral